Molecule: ribosomal RNA, 253 nt
Filed under: uncultured bacterium
Lineage: Bacteria
Description: partial 16S ribosomal RNA
Rfam family: Bacterial small subunit ribosomal RNA
Source: RNAcentral
UACGGAGGGGGCAAGCGUUAUCCGGAUUCACUGGGUUUAAAGGGUGCGUAGGUGGGUCUGUAAGUCCGUGGUGAAAUCUCCGAGCUUAACUUGGAAACUGCCAUGGAUACUAUAGGUCUUGAAUACUGUGGAGGUCAGCGGAAUAUGUCAUGUAGCGGUGAAAUGCUUAGAUAUGACAUAGAACACCAAUUGCGAAGGCAGCUGGCUACACAAAUAUUGACACUGAUGCACGAAAGCGUGGGGAUCAAACAGG